RNAcentral lists this ribosomal RNA (326 nucleotides) under uncultured eukaryote. Its description in RNAcentral is "partial 18S ribosomal RNA". It matches the Rfam family "Eukaryotic small subunit ribosomal RNA", at positions 1470 to 1796 of the family's 1831-position model. The record is from RNAcentral.
CCCUUAGAUGUCCUGGGCCGCACGCGCGCUACACUGAACGGAUCAGCGCGUUUUCCCUUCCCGAGAGGGACGGGUAACCUGCUGAACCCCGUUCGUGGUAGGGAUCAGGGCUUGCAAUUAUUCCCCGUGAACCAGGAAUGCCCAGUAAGUGCAAGUCAUAAGCUUGCGUUGAUUACGUCCCUGCCCUUUGUACACACCGCCCGUCGCUACUACCGAUUGAACGUUUUAGUGAGGUACUCGGACUGAGCCUCAGAAGAUUCACGUCUUUUGUGCUGCUCGGGAAGAUUCCCAAACUUGAGCGUUUAGAGGAAGUAAAAGUCGUAACA